UACGGAGGGGGCGAGCGUUAUUCGGAAUUAUUGGGCGUAAAGAGCUCGUAGGCGGUCUGUCACGUCGGCUGUGAAAACCCGAGGCUCAACCUCGGGCCUGCAGUCGAUACGGGCAAACUAGAGUGUUGCAGGGGAGACUGGAAUUCCUGGUGUAGCGGUGAAAUGCGCAGAUAUCAGGAGGAACACCGGUGGCGAAGGCGGGUCUCUGGGCAACAACUGACGCUGAGGAGCGAAAGCGUGGGGAGCGAACAGG
RNAcentral lists this ribosomal RNA (253 nucleotides) under uncultured bacterium. RNAcentral's name for it is "partial 16S ribosomal RNA". It matches the Rfam family "Bacterial small subunit ribosomal RNA", at positions 524 to 776 of the family's 1533-position model. The record is from RNAcentral.